Molecule: long non-coding RNA, 2505 nt
Filed under: Macaca fascicularis (crab-eating macaque)
Lineage: Eukaryota; Metazoa; Chordata; Mammalia; Primates; Cercopithecidae
Description: lncRNA (ENSMFAG00000057370.1)
Source: RNAcentral
AUCGGAUGUCCCAAACGCAGAUUUUUGUCAACUUCUGUGAGUUUGUGUUUCUAGGCGGCACUGUGUAUACCCUGGGGACAGUGGUGUCUGGGGCUGAGCACUGCACUGGGCUUGGGAGCAGAAGAGGGAGCAGCAGGGCGGGAGGAGGAUCUACCAGGGGAGCAGGGACAAGUCAUUUUCAUUUUCUCAUUCCCAGGGACCAGAAACCAGGAUUCUGACUCCAGGGCACAGUACCACACCCUACUGGUGUCCCUGGAUGUCAUGAGUGCUCAUAGUGUCAUGUUACCUUGACAUUCAUUUUUUAAGGUGUAAGUUUUUUUGCCUCACAUCAGAGUCAGGUCUUGGUCACCAUGGCAGUUUUCAAUACUCUAUCUGUUUCAAGUGGCUCCAGUUUGUGUCCAGAGAUAAAAUCUUAGAGGCAUCUCUCCUGCUUGGUGUGCUGGGCUCCCCUCUCUCCAGCUGCUUUCUUUAAACGGAUAAUUCUGGCAUUUGCCCUCACAUUUAAAGUGACCACUUGUCAGUCACAGCAUGCUCUCCUGGUCCCAGUGUUUGCUCUCCUGGUCCCAGUGUUUGACAUCUGUGGUCUCCAGGUGUGUCGAGUGCUCCCCAGUGUCUGGAAGUAGUAAAAACACUUACACUUUCACGUUGUGGUUUUAUCAUUAUAGCCUCACAUGCCAUCCAGGGCCUGACAUGGAAGGCUGCCCUAUGAGACCUGUGCUGGUUGAACCCCUGCUGGAGCUCUUGUUUUGGGACCUCUGGUUUUUCUGGGGACAGGAGUCUGCAGCUAACUUGAUUGAAAAAGUGAUAUGUUUCAUGGAAAACACUGGGUCAGAUGAUGUAUUCAUGUGCUUCAGCUGCCAUAACAAACACCUUAACCUGGGUGAAUUAAAUAAUAGAAAUAGAUUUUGCAUAGUUCUGUGAAUAAUGUGCUAUUUUAAUCACUUUAAAAUGUACAAUCAGGUGGAAUUAACCACAUACACAGUGUUAAGUUCCCAUCACCACUAUUUUUCCUGGAAAACUUUAGUCAUUUUAAACUGAAACUUUGUAUCUUUGAAACAAUAAUAACUCCCUGUUAUUUUCCACCCUAGACCUUGAUCAUCUCUACUCUAUCUCUGAAUUUGCCUAUUCUUGAUGUUUCAUAUAAAUGGAAUUAUAUAUGUAUAUGUUAUUAAUUUCUGACAUAUUUCACUUAGCAUAAUGUUUCCAAAGUCCAUGCAUGUUGCAGUGGAUGUCAGAGCUUCCUUCCUUUUUAUGGCAGAUUAACAUUCUGUUGCAUGUGUCACCACAUUUGUUUUUUCAUGAGUUGAUGAACACUUGGAUUGUUUUCAUAUUUUAUCUUUUGUGAGUAAUGCUGCAAUCAACAUUCCCAUGCCAGUACCUAUUUGAGUCCCUGGAUUCAAUUCUUUGGGUAUAUACCUAGGAAUGGAUACUGUUUCAUGUGAGAAUUCUAUGAUUAUCUUCUUGAGGAACAGCACAACUGUUUCUGCUAGUGGCUGUACCUUUUUAUAAUCUCACCAGCAAUGCUUUUUCCCCAUCUUUGUGGUUUUAUCUGCCUCUGGUCUUUGAUGAUGGUGAUGUACUGAUGGGGUUUUUGGUGUGGGUGUCCUUCCUGUUUGUUAGUUUUCCUUCUAACAGUCAGGACCCUCAGCUGUAGGUCUGUUGGAGAUUGCUUGAGUUCCGCUCCAGACCCUGUUUGCCUGGGUAUCAGUAGCAGAGGCUGCAGAAGAUAGAAUAUUGCUGAACUGCGAGUGUACCUGUCUGAUUCUUGCUUUGGAAGCUUCCUCUCAGGGAUGUACUCCACCGUGUGAGGUGUGGGGUGUCGCUUUGCCCCUAGUGGGGGAUGUCUUCCUGUUAGGCUACUCAGGGGUCAGCGACCCACUUGAGCAGGCAGUCUGUCCCUUCUCAGAUCUCAACCUCCGUGUUGGGAGAUCCACUGCUCUCUUCAAAGCUGUAAGACAGAGUCGUUUACGUCUGCAGAGGUUUCAGCUGCUUUUUUGUUGUUAUUGUUUAGCUGUGCCCUGUUCCCAGAGGUGGAGUCUACAGAGACAGGCAGGACUCCUUGAGCUGCUGUGAGCUCCACCCAGUUCAAGCUUCCCAGCCACUUUGUUUAUCUACUUAAGCUUCAGCAAUGGCAGAGCCCUCCCCAGCCCUCACUGCUGCCUUGUGGCUGAAUCGCAGACUGCUGUGCUAGCAAUGAGGGAGGCUCCGUGGGCGUGGGACCCUCCCGGCCAGGUGUGGGAUAUAAUCUCCUGGUGUGCCCGUUUUCUAAGAUCCUUGGUAAAGCGCAGUAUUGGGGUGGGAGUUACCCGAUUUUCCAGGUGUUUUGUGUCUCAGUUCCUCUAGGUAGGAUAAGGGAUUCCCUUCCCCCUUGCUUCCCAGGUGAGGCAAUGCCUCACCCUGCUUCAGCUCUUGCUGGUCGGGCUGCAGCAGCUGACCAGCACCGACUGUACCCCAUUCCCUAGUGAGAUGAACCCAGUACCUCAGUUGAAAAUGCAGAAAUCACCU